This 87-nucleotide transfer RNA is filed under the name Bacteroidota bacterium. RNAcentral's name for it is "Bacteroidetes bacterium tRNA-Leu". It matches the Rfam family "tRNA". Rfam says of the family: Transfer RNA (tRNA) molecules are approximately 80 nucleotides in length. Their secondary structure includes four short double-helical elements and three loops (D, anti-codon, and T loops). The record is from RNAcentral. Lineage: Bacteria; Pseudomonadati; Bacteroidota.
GCGAAAGUGGCGGAAUUGGCAGACGCGCCAGACUUAGGAUCUGGUGGGGUAACACCCGUGGGGGUUCGAGUCCCCCCUUUCGCACCU